This 253-nucleotide ribosomal RNA is filed under the name uncultured bacterium. RNAcentral's name for it is "partial 16S ribosomal RNA". It matches the Rfam family "Bacterial small subunit ribosomal RNA", at positions 524 to 776 of the family's 1533-position model. The record is from RNAcentral.
UACGGAAGGGGCUAGCGUUGUUCGGAAUUACUGGGCGUAAAGAGCGCGUAGGCGGCUUGCCAAGUUGGGGGUGAAAUCCCGGAGCUCAACUCCGGAACUGCCUUCAAAACUGGCAAGCUCGAGUCCGGAAGAGGGGCGUGGAAUUCCCAGUGUAGAGGUGAAAUUCGUAGAUAUUGGGAAGAACACCGGUGGCGAAGGCGGCGCCCUGGUCCGGUACUGACGAUGAGGCGCGAAAGCGUGGGGAGCAAACAGG